UACGGGGGGGGCAAGCGUUGUUCGGAAUUACUGGGCGUAAAGGGCUCGUAGGCGGCCAACUAAGUCAUACGUGAAAUCCCUCGGCUUAACCGGGGAACUGCGUCUGAUACUGGAUGGCUUGAGUUCGGGAGAGGGAUGCGGAAUUCCAGGUGUAGCGGUGAAAUGCGUAGAUAUCGAGAGGAACACCUGCGGCGAAGGCGGGUUGCUGGGCUGACACUGACGCUGACAGCGCGAAAGCUAGGGGAGCGAACGGG
Molecule: ribosomal RNA, 254 nt
Filed under: uncultured bacterium
Lineage: Bacteria
Description: partial 16S ribosomal RNA
Rfam family: Bacterial small subunit ribosomal RNA
Source: RNAcentral